GACGAACGCUGGCGGCGUGCUUAACACAUGCAAGUCGAACGGAAAGGCCCUGCUUUUGUGGGGUGCUCGAGUGGCGAACGGGUGAGUAACACGUGAGUAACCUGCCCUUGACUUUGGGAUAACUUCAGGAAACUGGGGCUAAUACCGGAUAGGAGCUCCUGCUGCAUGGUGGGGGUUGGAAAGUUUCGGCGGUUGGGGAUGGACUCGCGGCUUAUCAGCUUGUUGGUGGGGUAGUGGCUUACCAAGGCUUUGACGGGUAGCCGGCCUGAGAGGGUGACCGGCCCCAUUGGGACUGAGAUACGGCCCAGACUCCUACGGGAGGCAGGAGUGGGGAAUAUUGCAACAUGGGCGGAAGCCUGAUGCAGGAACGCCGCGUGCGGGAUGACGGCCCUCGGGUUGUAAACCGCUUUCGCCUGUGACGAAGCGUGAGUGACGGUAAUGGGUAAAGAAGCACCGGCUAACUACGUG
This 468-nucleotide ribosomal RNA is filed under the name uncultured bacterium. RNAcentral's name for it is "partial 16S ribosomal RNA". It matches the Rfam family "Bacterial small subunit ribosomal RNA", at positions 28 to 507 of the family's 1533-position model. The record is from RNAcentral.